GGGAGUGGCAGACGGGUGAGUAACGCGUGGGAACAUACCCUUUCCUGCGGAAUAGCUCCGGGAAACUGGAAUUAAUACCGCAUACGCCCUACGGGGGAAAGAUUUAUCGGGGAAGGAUUGGCCCGCGUUGGAUUAGCUAGUUGGUGGGGUAAAGGCCUACCAAGGCGACGAUCCAUAGCUGGUCUGAGAGGAUGAUCAGCCACAUUGGGACUGAGACACGGCCCAAACUCCUACGGGAGGCAGCAGUGGGGAAUAUUGGACAAUGGGCGCAAGCCUGAUCCAGCCAUGCCGCGUGAGUGAUGAAGGCCUUAGGGUUGUAAAGCUCUUUCACCGGAGAAGAUAAUGACGGUAUCCGGAGAAGAAGCCCCGGCUAACUUCGUGCCAGCAGCCGCGGUAAUACGAAGGGGGCUAGCGUUGUUCGGAAUUACUGGGCGUAAAGCGCACGUAGGCGGAUAUUUAAGUCAGGGGUGAAAUCCCAGAGCUCAACUCUGGAACUGCCUUUGAUACUGGGUAUCUUGAGUAUGGAAGAGGUAAGUGGAAUUCCGAGUGUAGAGGUGAAAUUCGUAGAUAUUCGGAGGAACACCAGUGGCGAAGGCGGCUUACUGGUCCAUUACUGACGCUGAGGUGCGAAAGCGGGAGCAAACAGGAUUAGAUACCCUGGUAGUCCACGCCGU
Molecule: ribosomal RNA, 674 nt
Filed under: Agrobacterium sp. EB14(2012)
Lineage: Bacteria; Pseudomonadati; Pseudomonadota; Alphaproteobacteria; Hyphomicrobiales; Rhizobiaceae
Description: bacterial SSU rRNA
Rfam family: Bacterial small subunit ribosomal RNA
Source: RNAcentral